RNAcentral lists this ribosomal RNA (322 nucleotides) under uncultured eukaryote. RNAcentral's name for it is "partial 18S ribosomal RNA". It matches the Rfam family "Eukaryotic small subunit ribosomal RNA", at positions 1470 to 1796 of the family's 1831-position model. The record is from RNAcentral.
CCCUUAGAUGUUCUGGGCCGCACGCGUGCUACACUGAGUGGAUCAGCGGGUCAGGUUGCGCGAAAGUGUUUCCUAAUCUUUAAAUCCGCUCGUGAUGGGGAUUGACGGUUGCAAUUUUCCGUCAUGAACGAGGAAUACCUUGUAAGCGCGGGUCAUCAUCCCGCGCUGAAUACGUCCCUGCCCUUUGUACACACCGCCCGUCGCUCCUACCGAUUGAGUGGUCCGGUGAGGCUUUGGGAUCUGAGCGGAAAGAGCGUUUCGCUGUUUCUGCCCGGAAAACUCAGUCGAACCUUAUCAUUUAGAGGAAGGAGAAGUCGUGACA